AGAGUCGGUGAAGGCUUUAAAGGAAGUAGGCAGCUGGAACCCGGCUGUGGCGGGUUGAAAAGCCCGGGCGUUUGAGAGCUGAGACUUGCCAGUUCCCACAGGCCAAGCCAGGCGUCUGCACCCCAUUCUCUUGGUUCCGACGAUGGAGUCUUGCUCUGUCACCCAGACUGGAGUACAGUGGUGUGAUCUCAGCUCACUGCAACCUCCACUUCCCAGGUUCAAGCGAUUUUCCUGCCCCAGCUUCCCGAGCAGCUGGGACUACAGAAUAUGCUCUCCAUGAGGGUGUUCUUCAGGGCCUACCACAAUGGCUGGCACUAGAGAAGGGCACAAAAUUGAAGAACAGUGAAGACAAAAGCAAUAAGAUGAUUAAGGCCAUGUGAGACAGCAACAAUAUCAGGUUGCAGAUACCACAGACUCUGUCAAGAAGUGUGUUGGGGGCCAGGCGUGGUGACUCAUGCCUGUAAUCCCAGCACUUUGGGAGGCUGAGGUGGGAGAAUUGCUUGAUCCCAGAGGUCAAGUCUGUAUAAGCCAUGAUCAUGCCGGUACUCCAGCCUUGGAGACAGAGUGAGACCCUCUCUCAGAAGAAAAAAAAAAAGAAGUAUGUUGAGGCUUCUCAUUGCUCUGAAAAGGGAGUUCAUGAUAAACAUGUUUGGGCUGGGGAAAAAAAAAAACAAGCACAUAAACAAAAUAAAAAACCCAACCCUUGUCCCUUGGUCUUUGAGUGACCAGUGAUAUUCCAUCGCCGUGGAAGAAGAGAAGAUGAAUACUGGGGGAACACCCACAGUGCCUGUGACGCUUCCUACCAGCCUGCUCUACCUCCCUGGCCGGCUCUUUCUCCCUUCCUCCUACCAGCUUUUCUAAACCUUCUGUCAGCUCAGCAUCCCUCCCAUCCCUCUGCCAUCACUAACCCCUCUCUUCCUAUUGCACAGAACAAAGAGAAUCCAUCAGAUGAGAGUUCCUUCAACUUCCUGAUCUCUCCCUCCCAGCCCUCACCAGACACCCUGCUUGAAUGCUCACCCCUUUCUCUCGAAGGCCAGUCCCUGCUCCUGGGCUCUCAAUCCCACCCCUCCUAUUGGCCUAGAACCGCAAAACCAGGUCUCUCCCACUGUCUCCAGACUCUCUGCCCACAGUGUGUCAGCAUUUAAAUAUGCUCGUCUUUUCCAUGAAAGGUGUUCCCUGGGGCCAGGCGCGGUGGCUCACACCUGUAAUCCCUGCACUUUGGGAGGCCGAGGUGGGCGGAUCUCUUGAGGUCAGGAGUUCGAGACCAGCCUGGCCAAUGUGGUGAAACCCCAUCUCUACUAACAAUACAAAAAUUAGGUGUGGUGGCACACGCCCGUAGUCCCAGUUACUAGGGAGUCUGAGGCGGGAGAAUCGCUUGAACCCGCGAGGUGGAGGUUGCAGUGAGCUGAGAUCAUACCACUGCACUCCAGCUUUGGCGGCAGAGCAAGACUCUGAAGAAAGAGGGAGGGAGGGAAGGAAGGAAGGAGGGAAGGAAGGAAGGAGGGAAGGAAGGAAGGAAGGAAGGAAGGAAGGAAGGAAGGAAGGAAGGAAGGAAGGGCGGGCUCCCUGGACUCCAUCUCCCCCUCCUGCCACCUGUCUCUCCGCUCUCCUUCGGCGUAAGCCAGGAAGCGCUCCCUUCUCUAUGUCCACCACUUUUUCAGUUUCUUUAAAAUAAGAAAUGUGGUGGAAAUGUCAAGACACCAAGAAACCUAUACACCAGUCCUAAGGGUUCAUUCUACUUUCCUUUUUCUCUCUACAACAUCAUACAGCCCUGGUUAUUUCUACAGUGGCUUUAGUCCUCUCCUUUGGUGUACUUUACAAAAAUAUAUCCAGGGAGAACUGGAUUCUCCAUCCUCUUGGGGAACCGACAGAGUAUCCACAACCAGUCUAUUUCAAAGGGAGGGGGUUGGGCUUGAUGAGGUGGCUCACUCCUGUAAUCCCAGCACUUUGGGAGGCUGAGGCGGGAAGAUCCAUUGAGCCCAGGAGUUCAAGACCAGCCUGGGGAACAUGGCGAAAUCCCAUCUCUACAAAAAAAUACACAAAUUAGCCAGGUGUGAUGGCGUGCACUUGUAGUCCCAGCUACUCAGGAGGCUGAGGAGGGAGGAUCACCUAAGCCUGGGAGUUCGAGGUUGCAGGGAGUUAAGCCAUGAUCGUGCCACUGCGCUCCAGCCUGUCUGAGACACUGUCUCAACAAACAAGCAAACAAAUGAAACAAAAGGAAGGAACCUGAACCUCUUUACAUCUUCUUUUGGGAGCAGCGAUAAUCAGCAAUGACGUGUUCCAAUCAUAAUUCCAUUUCCUCAUUUAAGGCAGAACCCUCUCUGUUCAGUAAUUGGCACAAUUUGAGGACAAGAGUUAUCCUAGGAACUUUCAGAAAAAGAACCCAUAUUAAUUUUGUAACAAAGAUGUAAAAUGUGUCUUUGUGAGAAAGGGGCAUACAGAUUUUGGUGGGACUUUGAAUCAUACGCAGUCAUAAUUUGUUUUAUCCUUUUUUCCAGAAAAAUAUGCAAAACAAAAUAGCUGUGUGAUGGUACUACAGGGUCUUUGGGCUUUUGGAGGAGAAUAUAACCAAAGGGCUCCCAGGACAGCGUCAUGUUCAAGUGUCUAGAAAGUUUCAUAUGCACUCUGUGCUUUACUUUCUCAUCACCUAUUUUAGUCCAUUCAGGUUGCUUUAGACUCCCAUAGGCUUAUAAACAACAGAAAUGCACUUUCUCACAUUCUGGAGUCUGGAAUGAGAUUGUGGUGCCAGCAUGGUUGAGUUCUGGCAAGGGAUGUCUUCUGGGUUGCAGAUGGCCGAAUUUUCUUUGUAUCCUCAUGUGAUGGGGAGAGAGAGACAGAGUGAACUCUCUGGGGUCCUUUCAUGGGGUAGUAAUCUCACUGCUGGGGGCUCUUAGCUCAUGACCUAAUCACCUUCUAAAGGCUCACCUCCUAAUACCAUCACCUUGGGGGUUAGGAUUUCAACAGAUGAAUCUGGGGAGGGGAUACACAUAUUCAAUCCACGGCACCUGUUCACUCUUCCCCCAUCUGCAGUCCGACAUCUGCCAUCUUCCUUGUCACUAGACCCAGUGGACUCCCCAUCAUACUUGGCUUCCCAGCACCACCUGGCGUUUGGGGCCUCUUCUUCCUUGAAAUCUCCCUUUACCCCACGUCUGUGACCCACACUUCCCAGGCAGCUCACACCCAGGCCUUAGCGGGGGUAGGCCCUCUUCCCUUCUCCCUCCACCCCAGUGUGGGACUUCAUUCACUCCGUCAUCUUUUUGGACAGUUCAAUUAGGGGCUCCCAAGCCACUGGAAAUCCAGGUGAGCCAUGGAUCUUGGAAUUCCAAGGCCUCCCUGGGGUUUUGCUGUGAUUCCCAGGGACUCUGGCCUCGUCUCCUCUUGGGAUCUGACUUCCUGUGUGCUGCCUCUCUGUCUACUCCAGGUUCUGAAGGAAAACUCAACUUUGUCUUUGGUUCCCCCACAACAUUUAAUCACACCCCACUGUGGGGUCAUUAGACUUUGCCAGAGGUCUUGGGGGCUGUCUAGGCAGGGGUCUUACCAGGACUGGCACAGCCUCUGCCAUCUUGCUUCUUGCCUCCACCUCAGCUCCUCUCCCACUUUACCUUUCAUUUUACUGCUGCAACUCCAAAGUCCUCCCUAUUGUCUGAAGCAUCUUCCCUCCUCUGAAUCUUGAGAUCGGCUGACACCCCGGCCCUCCAGAAGUGGGCGUUUCACCUUCCAAAGCAAGCUCUUAGCACGAUUUUUUUCCCACACAAAGCCAAUUUUUUAACAGAAAUUUUACAGCCAUAAAAAAUUAUAUUUUUUUAAUACAAUUUAAAAAAUAUAUAUUUCUCCACCUUGUUCCUGGCCUUUUUCUCCUAAGCUUCAGCCCCACAGCUCCCACAGGCAUCUGAAACUCGACGUGCCCAGAUGAGAACUCAUCUUUCUCCCUUCUAAGCUGGGCUGUUCUUUUUUUUUUUUACACAGAGUUUUGCUCUUGUUGCCCAGAGCUGGAGUGCAAUGGGGCUAUCUCACCUUACCACAGCCUAUGCCUCCCAGGUUCAAGCGAUUCUCCUGUCUCAGCCUCCUGAGUAGCUGGGAUUACAGGCAUGCGCCACCACGCCGGGCUAAUUUUGUAUUUUUAGUAGAGACAGGGUUUCUCCAUGUUGGUCAGGCUGGUCUUGAACUCCCGACCUCAGGUGAUCCACCCGCUUCAGCCUCCCAAAGUGCAUGGAUUACAGACGUAAGCCACUGCUCCCGGCCUGAGCUGUUCUUUACUCUCAUGGUUGGCAUCCCCAUCCAACCAGGUCCCUGGGUGGCCUCUGACUUCUGACAAGUGACACUUCUUGCCAGAGGACUACCCCGAACUCACUGGUAGCUCACUCAUGAGGCUCAGCUGGGGUAGGCCCAGCUGUACCUCCAGUCACCCCUGUGUCCAUGUUCAUCAGGCACCACACAGGCAUGUUCCUCAAUGCAAAUCUGAUCUGACACUGCUCUGCACUGAACUCCUUGGCGUCUCCCCCUGCUCCCCACCCCUCCAGCCCCUCCCAUUGAGCGCCUCUCAGUUUCCCUCAUGCCUCCAAUUCCCCAAAUGUCUUUCCACCCAAGCUCCCCGUCUCCUUGCUACCCUAGGCGUGUUCUUCAAGUCUCACUUUAUCUGUUAACUUCUGGAAAUCUGUGCCCGAUCUCACACUUGGAGUUAGGCAUUCUUCCUAUCAUGGGCAGGGUGAAUAGUACCUUCUACAGUCAUCAUGAUAUAAACACUUAUGAGGGCCGG
Molecule: long non-coding RNA, 4756 nt
Filed under: Homo sapiens (human)
Lineage: Eukaryota; Metazoa; Chordata; Mammalia; Primates; Hominidae
Description: non-protein coding CRTC3-AS1:8
Source: RNAcentral